UACGGAGGAUGCGAGCGUUAUCCGGAUUUAUUGGGUUUAAAGGGUGCGCAGGCGGAUUUUUAAGUCAGCGGUAAAAAUGCGGUGCUCAACGCCGUCGAGCCGUUGAAACUGGCGUUCUUGAGUGGGCGAGAAGUAUGCGGAAUGCGUGGUGUAGCGGUGAAAUGCAUAGAUAUCACGCAGAACUCCGAUUGCGAAGGCAGCAUACCGGCGCCCUACUGACGCUGAGGCACGAAAGCGUGGGUAUCGAACAGG
Molecule: ribosomal RNA, 252 nt
Filed under: uncultured bacterium
Lineage: Bacteria
Description: partial 16S ribosomal RNA
Rfam family: Bacterial small subunit ribosomal RNA
Source: RNAcentral